GGAGGGUUGUGCCGAACGGCUAAGGCACUGGUCUCGAAAACCAGCGGGCGCAAGCCCUUGCAGGUUCGAAUCCUGCACCCUCCG
RNAcentral lists this transfer RNA (84 nucleotides) under Candidatus Uhrbacteria bacterium RIFCSPHIGHO2_01_FULL_47_11. Its description in RNAcentral is "tRNA-Ser". It matches the Rfam family "tRNA". From Rfam's summary of the family: Transfer RNA (tRNA) molecules are approximately 80 nucleotides in length. Their secondary structure includes four short double-helical elements and three loops (D, anti-codon, and T loops). Lineage: Bacteria; Candidatus Uhriibacteriota. RNAcentral also lists the same sequence under 5 other names. The record is from RNAcentral.